This 73-nucleotide transfer RNA is filed under the name Anisakis simplex (herring worm). It matches the Rfam family "tRNA". From Rfam's summary of the family: Transfer RNA (tRNA) molecules are approximately 80 nucleotides in length. Their secondary structure includes four short double-helical elements and three loops (D, anti-codon, and T loops). Further hydrogen bonds mediate the characteristic L-shaped molecular structure. tRNAs have two regions of fundamental functional importance: the anti-codon, which is responsible for specific mRNA codon recognition, and the 3' end, to which the tRNAs corresponding amino acid is attached (by aminoacyl-tRNA synthetases). tRNAs cope with the degeneracy of the genetic code in two manners: having more than one tRNA (with a specific anti-codon) for a particular amino acid; and 'wobble' base-pairing, i.e. permitting non-standard base-pairing at the 3rd anti-codon position. The record is from Rfam by way of RNAcentral. Lineage: Eukaryota; Metazoa; Nematoda; Chromadorea; Rhabditida; Anisakidae.
GCUUUCGUGGUGGAGUCAGUAGCGCGUUCAGAUGUUAACUGAAAGAUUAGUGGUUCAAAUCCACUCGGUAGUA